CGCUGGAUUAUGACUGAA
RNAcentral lists this small nuclear RNA (18 nucleotides) under Arabidopsis thaliana (thale cress). Its description in RNAcentral is "snRNA_08324". Lineage: Eukaryota; Viridiplantae; Streptophyta; Magnoliopsida; Brassicales; Brassicaceae. The record is from RNAcentral.